GAUGAAGAACGCAGCGAAAUGCGAUACUUGGUGUGAAUUGCAGAAUCCCGUGAACCAUCGAGUCUUUGAACGCAAGUUGCGCCCGAAGCCAUUAGGCCGAGGGCACGCCUGCCUGGGCGUCACACGUCGUUGCCCCCCCAUCUACUCCUUCGGGAUUGCGGGGGGCGGAUGAUGGCCUCUCGUGCGCCUCGUCGCGCGGUUGGCCUAAAUGCCAAGUCCUCGGCGACGCACGCCACGACAAUCGGUGGUGGCGAAACCUCGGUUGCCUGUCGUGUGCGGUCGUCGCGCAUCGAGGGCUCGAAAAAAUUGCCGGGCUUCGGCUCGACUUUCAACGCGACCCCAGGUCAGGCGGGGUUACCCGCUGAAUUUAAGCAUAUCAAUAAGCGGAGGA
This 391-nucleotide unclassified non-coding RNA is filed under the name soil metagenome. Its description in RNAcentral is "partial contains 5.8S ribosomal RNA, internal transcribed spacer 2, and large subunit ribosomal RNA". The stretch from base 1 to 122 matches the Rfam family "5.8S ribosomal RNA", at positions 35 to 154 of the family's 154-position model. The record is from RNAcentral.